Molecule: ribosomal RNA, 253 nt
Filed under: uncultured bacterium
Lineage: Bacteria
Description: partial 16S ribosomal RNA
Rfam family: Bacterial small subunit ribosomal RNA
Source: RNAcentral
UACGGGGGGGGCAAGCGUUGUUCGGAAUUACUGGGCGUAAAGGGCCCGUAGGCGGCCAACUAAGUCCGACGUGAAAUCCCAAGGCUUAACCUUGGAACUGCGUCGGAUACUGGAUGGCUUGAAUUCGGGAGAGGGAUGUGGAAUUCCAGGUGUAGCGGUGAAAUGCGUAGAUAUCUGGAGGAACACCGGUGGCGAAGGCGGCAUCCUGGACCGGUAUUGACGCUGAGGCGCGAAAGCCAGGGGAGCAAACGGG